Molecule: ribosomal RNA, 253 nt
Filed under: uncultured bacterium
Lineage: Bacteria
Description: partial 16S ribosomal RNA
Rfam family: Bacterial small subunit ribosomal RNA
Source: RNAcentral
UACGAAGGGGGCUAGCGUUGUUCGGAAUUACUGGGCGUAAAGCGAACGUAGGCGGUGUUCCAUGUCAGAGGUGAAAGCCUGGGGCUCAACUCCAGAAUUGCCUUUGAAACGGGGACGCUUGAGUCUGAGAGAGGAUGGCGGAAUUCCUAGUGUAGAGGUGAAAUUCGUAGAUAUUAGGAAGAACACCGGUGGCGAAGGCGGCCAUCUGGCUCGGUACUGACGCUCAGGUUCGAAAGCGUGGGGAGCAAACAGG